CGAAGACACGUGGCACUGAAACACGCCUGGACGCGCUUGGCGGGGAGGCUUUGCGGCAGCUCCGAACGGGCCAAAAUGUCCGCCGCUUUGAACGAAGCCCCGGCGUCCGUUGCAUCCGCGCCGGCUAUACCGCGCGCCGUAGGCGAAACGUAACAGCACGGAUGGGAUUCACGCCAGUCUGCUAUAGCUGUCCUCGGCAAGCAGACGAGAAUGCCACCGAGUGGCUAUUCUCAUUCGUUGUUCUAAACUGCAGCUGCAGGUUUUUCUUUUUCUUUCUCGCGUACUGGCCAGGAAGGGCGCCAGCUGCCACCCUCCCAGUGGUGAGGUUACGUGACUUUCUUCUUCUUCUCGUUGACUUCUUUUUUUUUCCUGCAGGUGCAGAGGGCAGGUGCUCGGCGCUCACGCGCGCUCGAAAGAGUGCAGCGCCGAAUACGACAGCGUCCACACCUCGAUUGUAAGUAAACUUGAGAUAUAUCGUUCCGCGCGUGCGCCAGACAGAAUUUCACGGGAACGGCAACGUGGCGCUUCGCUCACUCGGUGGAAGCUGUCACGUAAUUCGAAAAAUAAAACGCAUAUCUCAAUCACACGAUAUCUCAAACUGACACAGAAGAGAAACGCUAGGUCAGUUUAGACUGAUUAUAUAGGUAGUGGAAGGCUACAGGUGCGGGAACUGACAAAGACAAAGGAGGCACACAAAGUACACAGUACUUUGUGUGCCUCCUUUGCUUCCGUCGGUUCCCGUGCUGUAGCCUUCCACUACGUUCCACCAACAAGCCCAACUAGUUACAGUUAUAGUUACUGAUUAUAGGUAUUCUUUCAAAACUAUAUUUUUGUUAUUUCGCGCGGUAAUAUGUUGAUUGCUGGCAAAAACGAGUAGUAAAUUUCUUUUUUUCGCGCCGAUACAUCAGUGUGGAGGGAGCUCGACGUCGUUGUAUUUCUUUUUCUUUCUUUCCUUCUUGUUUUGCCAUCUCGGGCCACUCCGGCUCUUGAAACUUCCUAAGUGCGGUCCGUGGCUCUUACGGAGUACGUUGUGGUUCAUCUUUACCGAGUAAAAUAAUUUAAUUAGGUCAUACCCGCCGCCACCAAAGUCCUUGAGGCAGCGGUCGCCACCCGCCUUUCAUUUUUCUGCCUCUUCUGUUGUCGUUGAUGUGGAAGGGCGAUUUGCUAAGACAGCUCAGGACGUUUUGUUUUUUCUCCUUUAGUGUACCUUUAAAACCCACUACCUAAACAUAUACACAGGAAUGCAAUGCUUAGCGUUCCUGUAUAUGCUCCCGCAGGGAGCACAGUUGCGCAUAACCUUUUCGGCGCCGCUCGCACCGCUAUUCGCUGAGCACUAUCACGUGAUGCAAAAUGUCAAAUGUUCAAAUGCGCCGCUGCGAAGCCAACUUUACGGGCGCGGCGCCGACUCGCUUCCGGAUCGUCAAGCGUGCGUUGUACCAAUCGGCUCCGGGUUGCAGUAUGAUGGGGUGCAGCGCACCAAACUGCACGAACCGCACGGAAGGUGGCAAGGCUUUUUACGCGGCGCCCUGCAGACGGACGAGACCGGCCGGCUCCGAAAGGGACCACGAUAUGCGAGGUGCGUCGCCUUGUUUACAGAGAAAUAGUGGAAACGAACGGCACCGUACCUUGAACUUUGAUUUGUCCAUUUUGCGAGCAACCGCUGUCGUCCUCCCAUUCCCAAGUCUAAUUUUCCCUCUCCCGCCCUCCCCCACAUGUACGGGAACUACGAGCGAAGCGUGGCAAGGUUCGACAAGACGGAAGAAACAAGCAAGCCUGUAUUUUCUUUUAUUUAUAGUUUUCUUGAAUAAAUGUUUAUUCCUCCUCCUC
Molecule: non-coding RNA, 1827 nt
Organism: Dermacentor andersoni
Lineage: Eukaryota; Metazoa; Arthropoda; Arachnida; Ixodida; Ixodidae
Source: RefSeq, a predicted model, not a curated record